AGGGAAUCUUCCACAAUGGACGCAAGUCUGAUGGAGCAACGCCGCGUGAGUGAAGAAGGUUUUCGGACCGUAAAGCUCUGUUGUUGGUGAAGAAGGAUAGAGGUAGUAACUGGCCUUUAUUUGACGGUAAUCAACCAGAAAGUCACGGCUAACUACGUGCCAGCAGCCGCGGUAAUACGUAGGUGGCAAGCGUUGUCCGGAUUUAUUGGGCGUAAAGCGAGCGCAGGCGGAAGAAUAAGUCUGAUGUGAAAGCCCCGUCACGGCG
Molecule: ribosomal RNA, 265 nt
Filed under: uncultured bacterium
Lineage: Bacteria
Description: partial 16S ribosomal RNA
Rfam family: Bacterial small subunit ribosomal RNA
Source: RNAcentral